AUGGGCUUCAGGGUGCUUGAGAGGGCUCAGGCCUUUGGGCUGGGUGCAGACACAUCGCUUCUCCCACCAUGCCUCCCCUGGGGCCCUUGCUCAGCCUCUCUGGUCCCCUUGUGUCUUUCAGGGGACUGCGCUGGCCAGGAUCUCGCCACCACCUCAACAAGGCUUGGGAAGAUUAGCAGCCACCCGGAAGGUCAACUACAUAGAGGGCUUGCUCCGAUCUGGACUGAAUAUGAAUGCAGUCGAUCAUGCCGCUGCACUGUUCUUCACACCACGACAGCUGGGUCCAGUCUUGACAGGAGGCCAAAGGCUCCACCCACAAGGCACAUGGCUUGUCAGCAACAACACAGAGCACCAGUGUGUCCAGGCCACAUCCACCAACAAGCCCGAUGCCCUCUGCAAGUCCGGUUGACACAGGGCAAGAGCCAUGAGCACCCAAGCUCUGGCAGCCUUCCCGGGAGCUCUCGCUCUCUGGGCACACAGGGAUCUCCCUGCUUGGGCGGACGGUGGGUCUGCCGGGACUCGACGUGCCAUGGGGCCCUCCCAUGACGCCCAAAGGUCUGCCUCCCCGAGCCCUCAAGGGCUCCGCAUCUACUAAGGCCAUACUGCCCUGACCAGAAUGCCGGCCAAGGCCAGGUACCAGCCAUCCUGGUCUCAGCCCGCCAAGUUGCCCACAGCCCGACCACCCAAGGGGUACCCAAGGGAAACCCUGGUGCCCAACCUGUGCCAGGCUGUGGGUCCCGUGGCUCAACCCCCUUGGGGGAGCCUUCGUGUGGCUGUUCGUGUAUACCAGCACAGGCUCGGGGCCACGUGAACACUUGGGCCCUCCUCUGCUUCCACCAGGUGGGCUGCCCCCCGCAAUCCUGAACCUCGAAAUCCUCGUUGAGCCUCCUCCUCUCUCAGGGAAGUCCACAGGGAAGCUUAGCGGCCACUCAGAUGGGCGUCUAGACGGAGGGCUUGCUCCUAUCCCAAAGAGGCUGGACCCGGUCGAUCGUGCCGCCGCACCCUUCUGAACACUACGUCAGCUGCGUCCACUCUUGAGAGGAGGAUCAAAGGCUCCAGCCCAGAAGGCACGAAACUCAUCAGCAAGCACUGCCAGUAAGCCGUUUCAGGGGCAGACGCCCACACACGUGGCAAGGGCUGUGCUUGGGUCAGUGAUGAGAAUUCAUAUUGUCUCGAAGAGAGAUGAGGACUUAAAAAUCAUGCUCAAUAGGAUUAUGCUGAGGCCCAGUGGAGUGGAGUGGACCGUCCCGGGCAGAGGAUCCGGGUGCUCCGGUUGUGCUGGGGGUACUUCCCCUCAGCCUGCAGUUUCAGGCCCCGGAUCCUGCCAAAUUGCCUUUUGCGGCUAGCAUCUGGACGUGGGCCUCUGUCGGCCCGAGAGAGCUUAGUCGUUCAGGCCUGGGACCGACCCACCACUCCUCCCACCACACCUACCCUGGGACCCUUGCUCAACCUCUCCGGUGCCCUUGUGUCUUUCAGGGGGCCGUGCUGUCCGGGCCCUCGGCCCCGCCUCAACUAAGUUUGGUGAGUUGAUGCCACGAGGCGAUUCAAAGUCCAGGGGACCAAGGGGCCUUCGGGAGGCAAGCCUGAGGGUGAUUUGGGUCCCUGUGUGAAGGCCAGGCCCACCCGUGCAGGGAUACAUAGUGUCGCUGCCUUUGAAGGGCCACCAUCCCCUGGGUGCAGGAAGAAUGGGCCCAAAUGUAGCCAGGGAAGCCCAGAGGGACCCAGCGUGUGCGGCUGGGGUGGGGGAUGGGGGACAAAACCAGGCUGCGGGAGGAGGUGGACUCCUGUUGCCCCCUGUUAAUCACUAUGGGGUGCCCCUCGGUGGACUUGGGGUCCCCUCUCCUGUGGAUACCUGGAGCCCCUCAACCGGGACGUGCAGCGUCUAGCCACCGCUGCUUGCGGUGGUGCCCUCGGCUGGCAUCCCCCGGACAUCCCCUGGGGCCUGCCCCCUGCCAAGGAGGUUGGCAAUGGCUGCCCAGGUCCGGGGUCUGAUUCCCUCACAUGGCCUUGGCAUUGUGGAAGGCAAGG
RNAcentral lists this long non-coding RNA (2028 nucleotides) under Canis lupus familiaris (dog). Its description in RNAcentral is "lncRNA (ENSCAFG00000038344.3)". The stretch from base 1146 to 1226 matches the Rfam family "Small nucleolar RNA SNORD115". The record is from RNAcentral. Lineage: Eukaryota; Metazoa; Chordata; Mammalia; Carnivora; Canidae.